ACCUUUCUGAAUUCAAGCUGAGAUUUUGUCAGACACUAAACGGCUAGGGCUGACGAGACUCCCUAGAGGUUAGUAAAGUG
RNAcentral lists this microRNA precursor (80 nucleotides) under Schistosoma curassoni. RNAcentral's name for it is "mir-3492 microRNA precursor family". It matches the Rfam family "mir-3492 microRNA precursor family". Lineage: Eukaryota; Metazoa; Platyhelminthes; Trematoda; Strigeidida; Schistosomatidae. The record is from Rfam by way of RNAcentral.